GCCAGACUCCUACGGGAGGCAGCAGUGAGGAAUAUUGGUCAAUGGGCGGGAGCCUGAACCAGCCAAGCCGCGUGAGGGAUGAAGGUACAGAGUAUCGUAAACCUCUUUUGUCAGGGAACAAAGGCGGGGACGUGUCCCCGGAUGAGUGUACCUGAAGAAAAAGCAUCGGCUAACUCCGUGCCAGCAGCCGCGGUAAUACGGAGGAUGCGAGCGUUAUCCGGAUUUAUUGGGUUUAAAGGGUGCGUAGGCGGGCUGUUAAGUCAGCGGUAAAAGCCGGGGGCUCAACCCCGGCGAGCCGUUGAAACUGACGGUCUUGAGUGGGCGAGAAGUAUGCGGAAUGCGUGGUGUGGCGGUGAAAUGCAUAGAUAUCACGCAGAACUCCGAUUGCGAAGGCAGCAUACCGGCGCCCAACUGACGCUGAAGCACGAAAGCGUGGGUAUCGAACAGGAUUAGAUACCCGCGUACUA
Molecule: ribosomal RNA, 467 nt
Filed under: uncultured bacterium
Lineage: Bacteria
Description: bacterial SSU rRNA
Rfam family: Bacterial small subunit ribosomal RNA
Source: RNAcentral